CCUACGGGAGGCAGCAGUGGGGAAUAUUGGACAAUGGGCGAAAGCCUGAUCCAGCCAUGCCGCGUGUGUGAAGAAGGCCUUCGGGUUGUAAAGCACUUUCAGUGGGGAAGAAAGCCUUGGGGCUAAUACCCUCGAGGAAGGACAUCACCCACAGAAGAAGCACCGGCUAACUCCGUGCCAGCAGCCGCGGUAAUACGGAGGGUGCGAGCGUUAAUCGGAAUUACUGGGCGUAAAGCGCGCGUAGGCGGUCUGAUAAGCCGGUUGUGAAAGCCCCGGGCUCAACCUGGGAACGGCAUCCGGAACUGUCAGGCUAGAGUGCAGGAGAGGAAGGUAGAAUUCCCGGGGUAGCGGGGAAAUGCGUAGAGAUCGGGAGGAAUACCAGUGGCGAAGGCGGCCUUCUGGACUGACACUGACGCUGAGGUGCGAAAGCGUGGGUAGCAAACAGGAUUAGAUACCCCGGUAGGC
This 465-nucleotide ribosomal RNA is filed under the name Vreelandella stevensii. RNAcentral's name for it is "partial 16S ribosomal RNA". It matches the Rfam family "Bacterial small subunit ribosomal RNA", at positions 338 to 795 of the family's 1533-position model. Lineage: Bacteria; Pseudomonadati; Pseudomonadota; Gammaproteobacteria; Oceanospirillales; Halomonadaceae. The record is from RNAcentral.